GAUAAGAUAAGCUAAACAAAGCUAGUGGGCCCAUAACCCAAAAAUGAAAUCACUCUCUUGUC
This 62-nucleotide transfer RNA is filed under the name Pilsbryoconcha exilis. RNAcentral describes it as "tRNA-Met". Lineage: Eukaryota; Metazoa; Mollusca; Bivalvia; Unionida; Unionidae. The record is from RNAcentral.